Molecule: long non-coding RNA, 222 nt
Filed under: Carica papaya (papaya)
Lineage: Eukaryota; Viridiplantae; Streptophyta; Magnoliopsida; Brassicales; Caricaceae
Description: long non-coding RNA (CPAP_LNC010486)
Source: RNAcentral
CGUGCAUUAUUUAAGUUUAGAAAAUAAAUUUAUUUUUUAAGUAUUUUUUUUAUUAUUGAAUAUAAUGUUUUUUUUUUUAUAAAUUAUUUAUGUAAUUUAGAGUUUAGAGUUUAAAAUUUUAUAUGAUAUAUAUACGCCAUGUUAAGAAAAUUAAUGCAAAGAACUUGGUGUUUGAUUGUAACCAUCAAUUGGCGGGAAUGUGAGACGAGUUAUGAAGUUCCG